Molecule: ribosomal RNA, 902 nt
Filed under: uncultured bacterium
Lineage: Bacteria
Description: bacterial SSU rRNA
Rfam family: Bacterial small subunit ribosomal RNA
Source: RNAcentral
UNGGAAUUACUGGGCGUAAAGCGAGCGCAGACGGUUUAUUAAGCAAGAUGUGAANUCCCCGAGCUUAACUUGGGAACUGCGUUUUGAACUGGUAAGCUAGAGUAUGUCAGAGGGGGGUAGAAUUCCACGUGUAGCAGUGAAAUGCGUAGAGAUGUGGAGGAAUACCGAUGGCGAAGGCAGCCCCCUGGGAUAAUACUGACGUUCAUGCUNGAAAGCGUGGGUAGCAAACAGGAUUAGAUACCCUGGUAGUCCACGCCCUAAACGAUGUCAAUUAGCUGUUGGGGCACUUGAUGCCUUAGUAGCGAAGCUAACGCGUGAAAUUGACCGCCUGGGGAGUACGGUCGCAAGAUUAAAACUCAAAGGAAUUGACGGGGACCCGCACAAGCGGUGGAUGAUGUGGAUUAAUUCGAUGCAACGCGAAGAACCUUACCUGGUCUUGACAUGUACGGAAUCUUCCAGAGACGGAAGAGUGCCUUCGGGAGCCGUAACACAGGUGCCGCAUGGCUGUCGUCAGCUCGUGUCGUGAGAUGUUGGGUUAAGUCCCGCAACGAGCGCAACCCUUGUCAUUAGUUGCCACCAUUUAGUUGGGCACUCUAAUGAGACUGCCGGUGACAAACCGGAGGAAGGUGGGGAUGACGUCAAGUCCUCAUGGCCCUUAUGACCAGGGCUUCACACGUCAUACAAUGGUCGGUACAGAGGGUAGCCAAGCCGCGAGGUGGAGCCAAUCUCAGAAAACCGAUCGUAGUCCGGAUUGCACUCUGCAACUCGAGUGCAUGAAGUCGGAAUCGCUAGUAAUCGCAGGUCAGCAUACUGCGGUGAAUACGUUCCCGGGUCUUGUACACACCGCCCGUCACACCAUGGGAGUGGGGGAUACCAGAAGUAGGUAGGCUAACCGCAAGGNG